This 606-nucleotide long non-coding RNA is filed under the name Cucumis sativus (cucumber). RNAcentral's name for it is "long non-coding RNA (CSAT_LNC002023)". The record is from RNAcentral. Lineage: Eukaryota; Viridiplantae; Streptophyta; Magnoliopsida; Cucurbitales; Cucurbitaceae.
AAGAACAAGAACAAGAAAGUAAGAAAUGAUUAAAAUAGUUUUGAUAUUUUAAAAAUCAUAUUGAAAAUAUGUGUUAAAUAAUUCAAAAUCAAUUUGGAUGAAAUAAUAGUAAAUAUACUUCCAUAUAUUAGAUAUUAAUUAGCAAAAGAGGUUUGAUGAUUAAAGAACUUAAAUUAGAAAAAAAAAGAAUUGAUGAUUAAAGAAGAAAUGUGUACUUCCAACAAUUGAUUGUAAAUUAAACUUCAGCAACAAACCUGUGUGGUCAGUUUGUUAAAGUGUGGAUGCAUCCCCAAUAGAUGCUCUUUUUAAUAAUUAAAUUUGAGAAGGAAAAAAUAAAUCAAACUUCAUUAUUAUGUUGGACAAAAAUAUCCUUUUUUUUAUUAUUAUUCAGGGCCAGUUUAUUAUUUUUAUUUCUAUUAUUUAUUCUUUUUGUGCUCUAUAUGACACCCAUAUAACUUUUCACUUGUUCUAGAACAUAUAUAUAUAUUCACACAUACAUAUAUAUUUAUAUCCUCAACCCACUUUUUAUUUUUUAACUUUUUUUAUUUAUAUAUGGUCUUUAUAAAUUUAUAAUUUUAAAAUUCACUAUCUUCCUCUAAAAGAAAA